AAUUUUUGAUUUUUAAUGAAAAUCUGAUGUUAAAAAUUGUGUACGGUAUGGGUAUAAGGCUUACUAUCGGGUCAGGUCAACCUGAAAAUUUCAGGUCAGGUCAAUUAAAAUCAUGACCUGAAAUGACCUGAAACCUGAAUUUGACCUGAUAACUUGACCUGAAUAUUAUCAGGUUGACAUGAUAUUUUUCAAGUUUUUUCUGAAUUAGUUUAGUUAACAUAAAAU
Molecule: long non-coding RNA, 225 nt
Organism: Bradysia coprophila
Lineage: Eukaryota; Metazoa; Arthropoda; Insecta; Diptera; Sciaridae
Source: RefSeq, a predicted model, not a curated record